Long non-coding RNA from Osmerus eperlanus (European smelt), 204 nucleotides. RefSeq lists it as uncharacterized. The transcript is spliced from 3 exons. Lineage: Eukaryota; Metazoa; Chordata; Actinopteri; Osmeriformes; Osmeridae. The record is from RefSeq and is a predicted model, not a curated record.
UACAGCCUUCAGAGUGACGGCACAGUGGAGGUCAUCAAUCAGUCCCUGCAGUCCGAUGGGCGUGUCACCUCCACCGAGGGAAUCGCCCGUGUGGUAGACCCCUCUGACCCCGCCAAGCUGGAAGUGAACCUCUUCACAGGUUCCAGACCUGGCCCUUACUGGGUGCUGUCCACCGACUACGACAGCUACAGCCUUGUGUACUCC